UAAGACGAACCGUGCGAACGUUAUUCGGAAUCACUGGGCUUAAAGGGCGCGUAGGCGGGCCGAAAAGUCAGGGGUGAAAUCCUCCAGCCCAACUGGAGAAGCGCCUUUGGUACUGUCGGCCUCGAGGGGUGCAGGGGCAUGCGGAACUCAGGGUGGAGCGGUGAAAUGCGUAGAUAUCCUGAGGAACACCGGUGGCGAAAGCGGCGUGCUGGACACCUUCUGACGCUGAGGCGCGAAAGCCAGGGGAGCGAACGGGAUUAGAUACCCCGGUAGUCCUGGCCCUAAACGAUGGGCACUAGGUAGCGGCCUUGCAUGGGGUCGCUGCCGAAGCAAAAGUGUUAAGUGCCCCGCCUGGGGAGUAUGGUCGCAAGGCUG
This 375-nucleotide ribosomal RNA is filed under the name uncultured bacterium. RNAcentral's name for it is "bacterial SSU rRNA". It matches the Rfam family "Bacterial small subunit ribosomal RNA", at positions 521 to 896 of the family's 1533-position model. The record is from RNAcentral.